RNAcentral lists this ribosomal RNA (468 nucleotides) under uncultured bacterium. Its description in RNAcentral is "partial 16S ribosomal RNA". It matches the Rfam family "Bacterial small subunit ribosomal RNA", at positions 28 to 507 of the family's 1533-position model. The record is from RNAcentral.
GACGAACGCUGGCGGCGUGCUUAACACAUGCAAGUCGAACGGAAAGGCCCUGCUUUUGUGGGGUGCUCGAGUGGCGAACGGGUGAGUAACACGUGAGUAACCUGCCCUUGACUUUGGGAUAACUUCAGGAAACUGGGGCUAAUACCGGAUAGGAGCUCCUGCUGCAUGGUGGGGGUUGGAAAGUUUCGGCGGUUGGGGAUGGACGCGCGGCUUAUCAGCUUGUUGGUGGGGUAGUGGCUUACCAAGGCUUUGACGGGUAGCCGGCCUGAGAGGGUGACCGGCCACAUUGGGACUGAGAUACGGACCAGACUCCUACGGGAGGCAGCAGUGGGGAAUAUUGCACAAUGGGAGGAAGCCUGAUGCAGCAACGCCGCGGGCGGGAUGACGGCCUUCGGGUUGUAAACCGCUUCCGCCUGUGACGAAGCGGGAGUGACGGUAAUGGGUAAAGAAGCACCGGCUAACUACGUG